GCAGCAUUAUCUGGGUUUCCCAGCACAUGCAAAGCCCAAAGUUCAGUAAUCCUGUCAUCCUUCUGGGCUAGACCUGGAGACUGGGUCUUCUCAAACCAGAUCACACGAUGGGGGUUUUUCUUUGAACAUGACAGGAUUUGCACAGGGGGACCUCCUCGAAGAGUUGCCUACUACUGCCCCCUUGUUGUCUCCUCCUCCUCCUUCUCCUUCCUCCUCCAACCUGUAUUUUACCAGAAUGAAGGAGAUGAGAAGCUUCACACAGUCUCACAAGGAAGACUCAGCUCACUAUGAAUGUUUCCAGCUGGGUUCUGUCAGCCUCUGUUCCACCAUAAAUCAUAUCUGCCUUCAGAUCCAAAGGUGCUAACUGAUGAAGCAGAAAUAAUGCAAUCUCAGCUGGCUUUGUGGCCUACUUACAGCACAGCUCUAGUAGGAAUGCAGACUGCCGCUACGUUCUGGAUAAUUCCAUAAAAAUGUUAUAUCCUUUCCAACUCACUGUUUUGUAAUCCUUCCAGUUCCUGGGACUAUUCUUUUCACUGAAUAUAGAAAAUAAUGUUUACACUGCAUUAUUUUCAGUCAAAAAGAAAUACUGGAAAUUGGUCCAAUGUCCUAGCCAGGGAGGGAUGAUCCACAGUUUUAAAAGCAUUCACUUUUCAUCUUCUUUCUUACUAUUUGUGUUAAUACUGUGGUUGAACCUAAUGGUUAAAUAUUAUGCUUUAAAAUUAAACACCAGGUUCUAAGGCUUAAGACAAUAACUAUUAAAGACUGAAUAAAACCUGAGGGGGUGAGAACA
RNAcentral lists this long non-coding RNA (790 nucleotides) under Anser cygnoides (Swan goose). RNAcentral describes it as "lncRNA (ENSACDG00005009710.1)". Lineage: Eukaryota; Metazoa; Chordata; Aves; Anseriformes; Anatidae. The record is from RNAcentral.